RNAcentral lists this ribosomal RNA (1061 nucleotides) under Salmonella enterica subsp. enterica serovar Kentucky. RNAcentral describes it as "partial 23S ribosomal RNA". It matches the Rfam family "Bacterial large subunit ribosomal RNA", at positions 161 to 1259 of the family's 2925-position model. Lineage: Bacteria; Pseudomonadati; Pseudomonadota; Gammaproteobacteria; Enterobacterales; Enterobacteriaceae. The record is from RNAcentral.
AAUCCAUAGGUUAAUGAGGCGAACCGGGGGAACUGAAACAUCUAAGUACCCCGAGGAAAAGAAAUCAACCGAGAUUCCCCCAGUAGCGGCGAGCGAACGGGGAGGAGCCCAGAGCCUGAAUCAGCAUGUGUGUUAGUGGAAGCGUCUGGAAAGGCGCGCGAUACAGGGUGACAGCCCCGUACACAAAAGCGCAUGUGCUGUGAGCUCGAUGAGUAGGGCGGGACACGUGGUAUCCUGUCUGAAUAUGGGGGGACCAUCCUCCAAGGCUAAAUACUCCUGACUGACCGAUAGUGAACCAGUACCGUGAGGGAAAGGCGAAAAGAACCCCGGCGAGGGGAGUGAAAAAGAACCUGAAACCGUGUACGUACAAGCAGUGGGAGCACAGGUUUACCUGUGUGACUGCGUACCUUUUGUAUAAUGGGUCAGCGACUUAUAUUCUGUAGCAAGGUUAACCGAAUAGGGGAGCCGGAGGGAAACCGAGUCUUAAUUGGGCGUUAAGUUGCAGGGUAUAGACCCGAAACCCGGUGAUCUAGCCAUGGGCAGGUUGAAGGUUGGGUAACACUAACUGGAGGACCGAACCGACUAAUGUUGAAAAAUUAGCGGAUGACCUGUGGCUGGGGGUGAAAGGCCAAUCAAACCGGGAGAUAGCUGGUUCUCCCCGAAAGCUAUUUAGGUAGCGCCUCGUGAAUUCAUCUCCGGGGGUAGAGCACUGUUUCGGCUAGGGGGCCAUCCCGGCUUACCAACCCGAUGCAAACUGCGAAUACCGGAGAAUGUUAUCACGGGAGACACACGGCGGGUGCUAACGUCCGUCGUGAAGAGGGAAACAACCCAGACCGCCAGCUAAGGUCCCAAAGUCAUGGUUAAGUGGGAAACGAUGUGGGAAGGCCCAGACAGCCAGGAUGUUGGCUUAGAAGCAGCCAUCAUUUAAAGAAAGCGUAAUAGCUCACUGGUCGAGUCGGCCUGCGCGGAAGAUGUAACGGGGCUAAACCAUGCACCGAAGCUGCGGCAGCGACACUGUGUGUUGUUGGGUAGGGGAGCGUUCUGUAAGCCUGCGAAGGUGU